CCCAGCAAUUGGAUUUCAUCAAUAUUAUAUAACGUUGAUUAAAAUUUCCUUUUCUCUCGAGCAACCAUGUAUAUUCCAAGCGUGAUGAAGGGAUUAGAUCAUCGUAUCGUAAAUUAUGCUUACUUCCAACCCCAAAGGCAGACUUUCUAUGUGCUUGUCUCUUUGCUUCGAGGGCCAGCGAACUCUUCACUCUAUAUGACAGAAACAGCCUAGAAUCCAGGGGGAAAUUUAAAAGUCAAUCAAGGAAGGAACUGCAAGAUGGACAGAGCAAGGUCUCGUAGAAAUGUAUGAGAUUCGUUUCUCGCAAAUUACGAGAUACGGAAACGUUUAAAGUCAUCUACAGGCGGAAAUCUGUUCAAGACAGUCGCGAACUUUAUAAUAUAAUGGAAUCGUUUUACCAAUAUGCGGACAAACAACACAGUUUUCGUCUAUGAAUACGAAAUAAAAAAUUUAAAUAAAAAUUAUAUUAAUCCUUUCGAUACGAGUUGUUUUUAACAUCGAUGAUAAAGAAAAUAAUCACAGACUUCGCUGGAUGCAUAAGCAUUCAUAGACAACAUCAAUGGAAUUUUUUCUGAUGAAUAUGUACUUCUCCUGUAGGAAAGUAUGAGAUGACUCGUUUGUUUGUAAGAAAUGUUCAAGAGCAGUUAUGAAAUCAUUUACGGAUUUCACUACGUUUUACAUAUUCGAAACUUUCCAUCUUUGCAUUUCUUUUCUGUCUCCCCUUUCUCAUGAAUACUUGAAUACAUGAUUUUUUCAAAUGUAAUAAAAAAAAAAAAAAAAAAAAAAAAUGCUAAUU
Molecule: long non-coding RNA, 796 nt
Organism: Bombus terrestris (buff-tailed bumblebee)
Lineage: Eukaryota; Metazoa; Arthropoda; Insecta; Hymenoptera; Apidae
Exons: 4
Source: RefSeq, a predicted model, not a curated record